Long non-coding RNA from Dendronephthya gigantea, 377 nucleotides. RefSeq lists it as uncharacterized. The record is from RefSeq and is a predicted model, not a curated record. The transcript has 5 exons. Lineage: Eukaryota; Metazoa; Cnidaria; Anthozoa; Malacalcyonacea; Nephtheidae.
AUUUACCAGCUAGGUGGUUGGCUAUAGAAUCUUUAACUGAUGGACUGUACACAACUAAAAGCGAUGUGUGGUCAUUUGCGGUUGUAAUGUGGGAAAUUGAAAGUAAAGGAUGCGUUCCAUAUUUGGAAUUUGAAGUGACGGAUCUUGUUAGACAAAUAAAUGAAGGAUAUCGCUUACUAAAACCUGAAGACACGUCAGAUGAAACAUAUGAACUGAUGCUUCAAUGUUGGAAAGCCUCCCCAGAUCUCCGCCCAACAUUUGAAGAAAUUGUUGACACCCUGAAAGGCGAAUUUUUGUGACAAGUGUUCCACUGAAAUGCACCUCUCAACAUUGGGCAUUUAGAUGGUCACAUGAAAUAAUUAUUUAAUUGCAUGAGG